This 253-nucleotide ribosomal RNA is filed under the name uncultured bacterium. RNAcentral's name for it is "partial 16S ribosomal RNA". It matches the Rfam family "Bacterial small subunit ribosomal RNA", at positions 524 to 776 of the family's 1533-position model. The record is from RNAcentral.
UACGUAGGGUGCAAGCGUUAAUCGGAAUUACUGGGCGUAAAGGGCUCGUAGGCGGCCAACUAAGUCCGACGUGAAAUCCCAAGGCUUAACCUUGGAACUGCGUCGGAUACUGGAUGGCUUGAAUUCGGGAGAGGGAUGCAGAAUUCCAGGUGUAGCGGUGAAAUGCGUAGAUAUCUGGAGGAAUACCGGUGGCGAAGGCGGCAUCCUGGACCGAGAUUGACGCUGAGGAGCGAAAGCUAGGGGAGCAAACGGG